This 399-nucleotide transfer-messenger RNA is filed under the name Flavobacterium sp. It matches the Rfam family "transfer-messenger RNA". Rfam says of the family: Bacterial tmRNA, also known as 10Sa RNA or SsrA, is named for its dual tRNA and mRNA-like properties. Its role is to liberate the mRNA from a stalled ribosome. To accomplish this part of the tmRNA is used as a reading frame that ends in a translation stop signal. The record is from RNAcentral. Lineage: Bacteria; Pseudomonadati; Bacteroidota; Flavobacteriia; Flavobacteriales; Flavobacteriaceae.
GGGGUCGACUGGUUUUGACAGCAAGUCGAAUUGAUUAAUAAGCACGUCGAGAAUGGGAUGUAUUCUCGUUAAUUCAAAUGUCCCAACACUUUUACACGGCGAAAAUAAUUACGCUUUAGCUGCUUAAUCCGAAUCAUAGUACGAUGAGCCACGUUCCUACAAGGUAGGAAAGCUGGAUUCUCCCUGAAAGCCCUGGUCUGUGGCGUUCUGUUCGGGGGAACCGUAAAAAUAGACCUAGGUUUGGUGACGCUUCGGUGCCUUUCUGACAACUAAGAAGAUAAGCUUCAUGCGGCUGUUCCUGGCCACUCAUGAUGUCGAAAACCCAAUCAGGAAAUAAGCGUGUAGAAAGUUUUUUAGUUGCUUGUUUGGACCCGGGUUCGAUUCCCGGCGACUCCACAA